GGUUGAUCCUGCCAGUAAUCAUAUGCUUGUUUCAAAGAUUAAGCCAUGCAUGUGUAAGUAUGAACUAAUUCAGACUGUGAAACUGCGAACGACUCAUUAAAUCAGUUAUAGUUUGUUUGAUGGUACCCGUUACUCGGAUAACCGUAGUAAUUCUAGAGCUAAGACGUGCACCGAACCCCGACUUUCGGAAGGGAUGCAUUUAUUAGAUAAAAGGUCGACGUGGGCUUCGCUCGUUGCUCUGAUGAUUCAUGAUAACUCGACGGAUCGCACAGCCAUCGU
RNAcentral lists this ribosomal RNA (279 nucleotides) under uncultured eukaryote. RNAcentral's name for it is "partial 18S ribosomal RNA". It matches the Rfam family "Eukaryotic small subunit ribosomal RNA", at positions 6 to 283 of the family's 1831-position model. The record is from RNAcentral.